GCUUAUGGCCAUACCACCCUGAAUGCGCCCAAUCUCACCUGAUCUCAGAAGCAAAGCAGGGUCGGGCCUGGUUAGUACUUGGAUGGGAGAAAGGUCCCCUAGGUAUGAUCCUCAGGUUGUGGGUU
Molecule: non-coding RNA, 125 nt
Organism: Nomascus leucogenys (northern white-cheeked gibbon)
Lineage: Eukaryota; Metazoa; Chordata; Mammalia; Primates; Hylobatidae
Source: Rfam